CCCAAGAUUGUUGUUUCUUCCCUGCUCAAGACUGGCUGUGCAGGAAUAGAUGUGCACCCCAGCAGCAGGGUCAUGCCAACAGGGGGGAGUGGAUGAUCUCUUUUAAACCAAGACCCGGUGUCCUCUGCAGCAUUGCCAUUGUGCCUGAAGCAGGACCAAGCUGCUGACUACUUGACUGUGUGGCCUGCUCCUCCACCACGUGGCUCCUGGGAUUUAUCCAGCGCCCUUCACUGCGACUGCAUCGUGGACCGGGACAUCAGGCAGCCCCUUGGACACCGUCUCCUACAGAACUAUUCGCUACAGCAGCUGCUCAUCUGUGUCCAGCCAGGUAUUGCAGCACUCCUCUGCUUCCCAUAACUCCGGGGUUUAAGCACCCAGCG
This is a long non-coding RNA of Oxyura jamaicensis (ruddy duck), 380 nucleotides long. RefSeq lists it as uncharacterized. The transcript is spliced from 3 exons. NCBI's taxonomy places the organism in Eukaryota, Metazoa, Chordata, Aves, Anseriformes, Anatidae. The record is from RefSeq and is a predicted model, not a curated record.